RNAcentral lists this ribosomal RNA (417 nucleotides) under uncultured bacterium. RNAcentral describes it as "bacterial SSU rRNA". It matches the Rfam family "Bacterial small subunit ribosomal RNA", at positions 358 to 767 of the family's 1533-position model. The record is from RNAcentral.
GGAAUAUUGGACAAUGGGGGCAACCCUGAUCCAGCAAUGCCGCGUGUGUGAAGAAGGCCUUCGGGUUGUAAAGCACUUUUGUCCGGAAAGAAAUCCCUUGCCCUAAUACGGCGGGGGGAUGACGGUACCGGAAGAAUAAGCACCGGCUAACUACGUGCCAGCAGCCGCGGUAAUACGUAGGGUGCGAGCGUUAAUCGGAAUUACUGGGCGUAAAGCGUGCGCAGGCGGUUUUGUAAGACAGGCGUGAAAUCCCCGAGCUCAACUUGGGAAUGGCGCUUGUGACUGCAAGGCUAGAGUAUGUCAGAGGGGGGUAGAAUUCCACGUGUAGCAGUGAAAUGCGUAGAGAUGUGGAGGAAUACCGAUGGCGAAGGCAGCCCCCUGGGACGUCACUGACGCUCAUGCACGAAAGCGUGGGGA